CCUACGGGUGGCAGCAGUGGGGAAUAUUGGACAAUGGGGGGAACCCUGAUCCAGCCAUGCCGCGUGUGUGAAGAAGGCCCUCGGGUUGUAAAGCACUUUCAGUGAGGAAGAACGCCUGGUGGUUAAUACCCAUCAGGAAAGACAUCACUCACAGAAGAAGCACCGGCUAACUCCGUGCCAGCAGCCGCGGUAAUACGGAGGGUGCGAGCGUUAAUCGGAAUUACUGGGCGUAAAGCGCGCGUAGGUGGCUUGAUAAGCCGGUUGUGAAAGCCCCGGGCUCAACCUGGGAACGGCAUCCGGAACUGUCAAGCUAGAGUGCAGGAGAGGAAGGUAGAAUUCCCGGUGUAGCGGUGAAAUGCGUAGAGAUCGGGAGGAAUACCAGUGGCGAAGGCGGCCUUCUGGACUGACACUGACACUGAGGUGCGAAAGCGUGGGUAGCAAACAGGAUCAGAUACCCUUGUAGUC
RNAcentral lists this ribosomal RNA (465 nucleotides) under Vreelandella stevensii. RNAcentral describes it as "partial 16S ribosomal RNA". It matches the Rfam family "Bacterial small subunit ribosomal RNA", at positions 338 to 795 of the family's 1533-position model. The record is from RNAcentral. Lineage: Bacteria; Pseudomonadati; Pseudomonadota; Gammaproteobacteria; Oceanospirillales; Halomonadaceae.